UGGGGAAUUUUGGACAAUGGGGGAAACCCUGAUCCAGCCAUCCCGCGUGUGCGAUGAAGGCCUUCGGGUUGUAAAGCACUUUUGGCAGGAAAGAAACGUCGCGGGUUAAUACCCCGCGGAACUGACGGUACCUGCAGAAUAAGCACCGGCUAACUACGUGCCAGCAGCCGCGGUAAUACGUAGGGUGCAAGCGUUAAUCGGAAUUACUGGGCGUAAAGCGUGCGCAGGCGGUUCGGAAAAGAAAGAUGUGAAAUCCCAGAGNUUAACUUUGGAACUGCAUUUUUUAAACUACCGGGGCUAGAUGUGUCAGAGGGAGGUGAAUUCCCGCGUGUAGCAGUGAAAAUGCGUAGAUAUGCGGAGGAACACCGAUGGCGAAGGNAGCCUCCUGGGGAUAACACUGACGCUCAUG
Molecule: ribosomal RNA, 409 nt
Filed under: uncultured bacterium
Lineage: Bacteria
Description: partial 16S ribosomal RNA
Rfam family: Bacterial small subunit ribosomal RNA
Source: RNAcentral